RNAcentral lists this ribosomal RNA (879 nucleotides) under Triticum aestivum (bread wheat). RNAcentral's name for it is "partial small subunit ribosomal RNA". The record is from RNAcentral. Lineage: Eukaryota; Viridiplantae; Streptophyta; Magnoliopsida; Poales; Poaceae.
AUGGAGGCGGAGGGGGAGAUCGGUGUGAGCGGCAGGAAGAGGACCAGGGGGGAGGGCAGCGGCGGCGGCGGCGGCGAGCAGAUGGUGUCCGUCGGCAGCAACUGCGGCGUCAUCGAGCUGGAUGCUCUGGACUGCAGCGUCUGCUACGACCACCUCCGGCCGCCGGUCUUCCAGUCUGAAGAAAUUGGUAUAUUUAUUACACCACCAGAUUUCCCUUUACCCAGAACUGGUGUGUUAUGGGGCAACCUCCUGAACAAGGACAAGUGCCACGUGUGCUCCAUCACCGGCGGCUACAACCGCUGCAUUGCGGUCGAGCAGAUCCUAGAGUCCGUCCGGGCACCUUGCUCCAACACCAAGUACGGGUGCACCGUCAAGAUGCAUUACCACGAGCUGAAGGAUCACGAGAAGUCAUGCCCCCGCGCGCCGUGCUUCUGCCCUGAAGCCGGGUGUGGCUUUGCCGGGUCCACCGGUGUGCUCCUGCGCCACUUCACGGAUGACCAUGGCUGGCCAUCAACUGAGUUCAAGUUUGGACGUGAUUCCGUCCUGCAGAUCCAGGAAGGAAUGCAUGUUCUCCACAGCAGAGAGGGUGGCCGCCUGUUCCUGGUGAAAUUCACGCCGGUGCCGCCUUUCGGCAAUGCCGCCUCCAUCUUGCGUGUUCAUCCUCAUGCCCUUGUGGGGGAGCGCAAGUUCAGGUGUCAGGUUGGUUACAACUGCGACACCAUUGGUUGGCAUCAGUAUUCAAAUCUCCAUCCCAGAAGCACCAAUCUGUCCAACGGCUUACCGGUGGACGAUGGCAGUUACUCACUGGUUGUGCCAGCUGUUCCUGCUUACUUGCCCGCUGCUAACAGCAUCAAGAUCACUAUCUCGAGGGUAUCUUGA